ACCAUUUUAUAAGCUUUUAAAAUCCAUUGUAAUCAUUCAAUGCCACUUACUUAUGCUUAAAAAACAAUUGUAAAUCUUAUAAAACUA
RNAcentral lists this small RNA (87 nucleotides) under Arabidopsis thaliana (thale cress). RNAcentral's name for it is "ATSL157160". The record is from RNAcentral. Lineage: Eukaryota; Viridiplantae; Streptophyta; Magnoliopsida; Brassicales; Brassicaceae.